GGGCCCCAAUCCACCAUGGGAAGGAGAGCCAUGCCUUCUCCCGCCCCAGCCACCAUCGCUCAAGCACCAGGAGGCCUUGCAGCCCGAGCAUCUAUCAAGCUGAAGGAACUCCAGAGCUGAUGGCUCCCACUAACUGAGGUUACCCCUACCCACUCAGCAUGACCACUUGUAUCCCAAAUACAAAGGUAAGACAUUUAGAAGACCCAGAAUCAUAAAAUUGCCAUUCUUCACU
Molecule: long non-coding RNA, 232 nt
Filed under: Fukomys damarensis (Damara mole-rat)
Lineage: Eukaryota; Metazoa; Chordata; Mammalia; Rodentia; Bathyergidae
Description: lncRNA (ENSFDAG00000024682.1)
Source: RNAcentral